CUAACCAUGUUUUUGAUUUUGAGUGACCCACCAAGUAAUUGUCUUUCUAUCAUUUUAUUUUCUUUAGAGUUUAUGUGUGGAAGGAAGGAAGGAAGGAAAGAAGGAAGGAAGGAAGGAAAGGAGGAAGACUGUAUUUUAAAAUAUCAAAAUUGUUCGUUUACUGUUUUCCAGCUAAUAGGAACCUUUGGAUCAACAAGUCUGAAAACACCAGGUGAGUUUCCUUCAAUCCUUAGUGAAAGAACUUUUAAAUACAAGUUUGGACUUCACCAAAAAUAUUUUUGGGAAUGAAC
Molecule: long non-coding RNA, 290 nt
Filed under: Naja naja (Indian cobra)
Lineage: Eukaryota; Metazoa; Chordata; Lepidosauria; Squamata; Elapidae
Description: lncRNA (ENSNNAG00000012613.1)
Source: RNAcentral